This 258-nucleotide long non-coding RNA is filed under the name Homo sapiens (human). RNAcentral's name for it is "non-protein coding LINC02052:21". Lineage: Eukaryota; Metazoa; Chordata; Mammalia; Primates; Hominidae. The record is from RNAcentral.
CAACAUACUGCAUGUAAGUAUCAAGUAAAUGAGCAGAGACAGCCCCUGGUUUACAAACACCUGACUUAAGCAUCGUCCAUCCUACAGGACAGGGAAGGAGGAAGAAGCUUCGAGAGGCUGGAACAGUUGAGGGAGCGCUGACACGGUAAAGGCCACUUUGCUCAUCAUCACCAGGCGUGCUGCCGAAAAUUUCCACUCUGUUUACUCCCAAGACCUUACUCCUACUAUGUGGAGACACAUUUGAAUAAAAAAUUGGCC